CAAAUCUGAAUCAAACUAAGAAAUAAGUUAAAACUUUCAACAACGGAUCUCUUGGUUCUGGCAUCGAUGAAGAACGCAGCGAAAUGCGAUAAGUAAUGUGAAUUGCAGAAUUCAGUGAAUCAUCGAAUCUUUGAACGCACAUUGCGCCCAUUAGUAUUCUAGUGGGCAUGCCUGUUCGAGCGUCAUUUCAACCCUUAAGCCUAGCUUAGUGUUGGGAGACUGCCUAAUACGCAGCUCCUCAAAACCAGUGGCGGAGUCUGUUCGUGCUCUGAGCGUAGUAAUUUUUUAUCUCGCUUCUGCAAGCCGGCCAGACGACAGCCAUAAACCGCACCCUCUCGGGGGGCACUUUUUUAAUGGUUGACCUCGGAUCAGGUAGGAAUACCCGCUGAACUUAAGCAUAUCAAUAAGCGGAGGAAAAGAAACCAACAGGGAUUGCCCUAGUAACGGCGAGUGAAGCGGCAACAGCUCAAAUUUGAAAUCUGGCCUUCUGGGUCCGAAUUGUAAUUUGUAGAGGAUGCUUUUUGGUUAGGUACCCUUUUCGAGUUCCUUGGGAACAGGACGCCCUUA
This 567-nucleotide ribosomal RNA is filed under the name fungal sp. RNAcentral's name for it is "eukaryotic LSU rRNA". The stretch from base 32 to 185 matches the Rfam family "5.8S ribosomal RNA". Lineage: Eukaryota; Fungi. The record is from RNAcentral.